Molecule: transfer RNA, 68 nt
Filed under: Caudoviricetes sp.
Lineage: Duplodnaviria; Heunggongvirae; Uroviricota; Caudoviricetes
Description: tRNA-Lys
Rfam family: tRNA
About the family: Transfer RNA (tRNA) molecules are approximately 80 nucleotides in length. Their secondary structure includes four short double-helical elements and three loops (D, anti-codon, and T loops).
Source: RNAcentral
AACUCAGCCGGUAGAGUAACUGCCUUUUAAGCAGUAAGUCGAGGGAUCGUGACCCUCCAGUCUCACCA